RNAcentral lists this ribosomal RNA (433 nucleotides) under uncultured bacterium. Its description in RNAcentral is "partial 16S ribosomal RNA". It matches the Rfam family "Bacterial small subunit ribosomal RNA", at positions 29 to 507 of the family's 1533-position model. The record is from RNAcentral.
AACGAACGCUGGCGGCAUGCCUAACACAUGCAAGUCGAACGAGACCUUCGGGUCUAGUGGCGCACGGGUGCGUAACGCGUGGGAACCUGCCCUUAGGUUCGGAAUAACUCCCCGAAAGGGGUGCUAAUACCGGAUAAUGUCUUCGGACCAAAGAUUUAUCGCCUUUGGAUGGGCCCGCGUUGGAUUAGCUAGUUGGUAGGGUAAAAGCCUACCAAGGCGACGAUGCAUAGCUGGUCUGAGAGGAUGAUCAGCCACACUGGGAAUGAGACACGGCCCAGACUCCUACGGGAGGCAGCAGUGGGGAAUAUUGGACAAGGGGCGAAAGCCUGAUCCAGCAAUGCCGCGUGAGUGAUGAAGGCCUUAGGGUUGUAAAGCUCUUUUACCCGGGAUGAUAAUGACAGUACCGGGAGAAUAAGCUCCGGCUAACUCCGUG